GACGUAGGGCGCGAGCGUUGUCCGGAUUUAUUGGGCGUAAAGAGCUCGUAGGCGGCUUGUUGCGUCGACCGUGAAAACCCGGGGCUCAACUUCGGGCUUGCGGUCGAUACGGGCGGGCUAGAGUUCGGUAGGGGAGACUGGAAUUCCUGGUGUAGCGGUGAAAUGCGCAGAUAUCAGGAGGAACACCGGUGGCGAAGGCGGUUCUCUGGGAAUAUCCUGACGCUGAGGAGCGAAAGUGUGGGGAGCGAACAGG
RNAcentral lists this ribosomal RNA (253 nucleotides) under uncultured bacterium. Its description in RNAcentral is "partial 16S ribosomal RNA". It matches the Rfam family "Bacterial small subunit ribosomal RNA", at positions 524 to 776 of the family's 1533-position model. The record is from RNAcentral.